This 468-nucleotide ribosomal RNA is filed under the name uncultured bacterium. RNAcentral's name for it is "partial 16S ribosomal RNA". It matches the Rfam family "Bacterial small subunit ribosomal RNA", at positions 28 to 507 of the family's 1533-position model. The record is from RNAcentral.
GACGAACGCUGGCGGCGUGCUUAACACAUGCAAGUCGAACGGAAAGGCUCUGCUUUUGUGGGGUGCUCGAGUGGCGAACGGGUGAGUAACACGUGCGUAACCUGCCCUUGACUUUGGGAUAACUUCAGGAAACUGGGGCUAAUACCGGAUAGGAGCUCCUGCUGCAUGGUGGGGGUUGGAAAGUUUCGGCGGUUGGGGAUGGACUCGCGGGUUAUCAGCUUGUUGGUGGGGUAGUGGCUUACCAAGGCUUUGACGGGUAGCCGGCCUGAGAGGGUGACCGGCCACAUUGGGACUGAGAUACGCCCCAGACUCCUACGGGAGACAGCAGUGGGGAAUAUUGCACAAUGGGCGGAAGCCGGAUGCAGCAACGCCGCGUGCGGGAUGACGGCCUUCGGGUUGUAAACCGCUUUCGCCUGUGACGAAGCGUGAGUGACGGUAAUGGGUAAAGAAGCACCGGCUAACUACGUG